Long non-coding RNA from Mustela lutreola (European mink), 1773 nucleotides. RefSeq lists it as uncharacterized. The transcript has 4 exons. NCBI's taxonomy places the organism in Eukaryota, Metazoa, Chordata, Mammalia, Carnivora, Mustelidae. The record is from RefSeq and is a predicted model, not a curated record.
UGCAGUGGGGUCUGGGAAACGAGCAAAACCAGAGGUUCAACCAGGCUCCAGGGGAAACGCCUGCAGUCCUCCCUAAAUGUCCUUCCUAAGUUUGUGUCUCCCAUCAGUUUGCCAUCUGAGCUGGCACCCUCAGAGAACUCGACCCCCCAUCCCCAAACUGGACCAAAAGGUCAGCUCUCCACUUGGCCUUUCCAGAGGCCACAGCCCAACCUUAAGGGUGAGAAAGCCACACCCAGCGUGUCCACGCACUUCUAAGCUCCCUUCUAAGCUCCGGUGCAGUCUCCCUUCUGAUCCCCGAGCCGGUUUUUGGCAGAGAUGGGUCGGGCUGGGGACUCUUUGACCUGGCAUCCCCGCAGCCAACUGGCUCAGCCUUCGAAGAGGCCCGGGCUGAACCUCACGUCACCCCCGCUUUGCAAAGCAGCAGGGCCAAGUGCUCUGGCAGGAGAAAGGCCUUUUUUGGUAACGCUGAGCCUGGCGGUUAAGCAGGACCCGGUCAAAACAAACGUCUGGGCUGGGCCCUCCUCCGGCCUCUCCAAGGGCCCCCAUCCCCGCGAGCCAGGAACCACCCCCACCCACCGACCCCCGGGCUCUAGGGGUGGGAGAAUCGAUCUGCGAUCCGCAAGAGAGAGAAAGCACAAGCAGGGGGAGCCGCAGACAGAGGCAGAGGGAGAAGCAGGCUCCCCUGGGCUCAUGACCUGAGCCCAAGACAGACGCUUAGCCAACGGAGCCACCCAGGCACCCUGAAUAGACUCAUUCUGUAGGAGUUUUUGUCCUAGAGAACUUGCAAAUAGAUGCACCAGCUCCCAGGUUGGAGGAAGGGCCCUAAGGAAUGUGUGGAAGGCGGCAUCGUCGCCUGCUUGGAUUAUGACAAUGGCCUCCUAACUGUUCUCCCACUUCCAUGUUGGGCCCCCAACAUUCAUCAUGCUGGAACAGAGGGACCCUGAGGCACACUCCACUCCAACCCAGGGUGGUCAGCAGGUCAUGGCAAGCGGGAGACGUGAUGCUAAUGACUCCGGCUCCACGUGGCGACCAUUCAGGAAAAAGCUGCAAUGUUCUCUCUGCCACAUUAAUCAGAGAAACACAUCAAGAGCUGUUGCAUGGAGACAGCUUUCCUCCCAGUACCUGCCCUGCAUGCUAAUCACCACCCCUCCUGGUGGUGAGUCAGCUCCAUGCCAGGCGGGUGGUGGGGGAAGGCCAGAAAUGCCAGCUCCCUGCGGUGGGGAGCAGCCGGGGCAGGGGAGGGGGGAGCCAGGCCCCACCCCCACACCCACUGCAUAAGACUAUCAUCGAUGGGUGGACAGGUGGAGAUGGCAAGUCGUGGGAGAGUCCAUCCCAAUGUAAACCCUGGGCUACCUCCUUGGGUCUACUAGAGAGAAUUCUCCAGAAGCUGAUCCCUGGACAGAGUCCAGGCUUAAAGCAAGAUGGAUCUCACUGCUAGGCACUUUGGUAACAAUAGGACAUCGCUUCUGGUAGAGCUGCACGUGUGGCAGACACACCUGGAAGCACUCUCCAUAUAUAUUACUCAUUUAACCCUUUAGGAAUAUUCCCACUGUGCGGAUGAGAAAGGCGACACACAGACAGGUUAAGUAGCCAAACCAGGGCUGCACAGCUAGUAACAACUGAUCGGGUGUGAACCCCAGCAACCAUGCCACAGUGCACUCCCCUCCACCGCCUCUCUUUGCUCUGCUGGAGCUCAGAGUCCCCUGAGGCCCUGGGUGCAGUUUGUAUGUUUCACUCAUUCACUCACACAGCUACUGUUUGCAGAACACCUAC